Molecule: long non-coding RNA, 350 nt
Organism: Emys orbicularis (European pond turtle)
Lineage: Eukaryota; Metazoa; Chordata; Testudines; Emydidae
Exons: 3
Source: RefSeq, a predicted model, not a curated record
GACCCAGACUGGUGAACUUCUCUGCUCUCAAUCUCCAAGGUUGGUAGCCUCUGAAUUUGAUCGGCAAGCUCACCACUCAAACCUUCUGAAAUGAAAAGGCUGAACAGCAGGAUCAGAAAAGCACUUCAAAGAAAAGCAUUUUGCAUACAAAUGAAGAGGCUUCUUGGAAAACGAAGACAGGGUCUACGUUACUGAGCCUUACAAUAUGCUAACUUCCUUGGUUUUAAAGAUGCUAAGGGAAUCCUUUCAAGGUACUGAUGCUUAGAUAUAUCAAAAAUAAUAAGCUAAGACAAUACUUAAACCCAUAUUUUACUAGCUUUGUUCACCUUAAUAUUUUCAAAAUUAAAAUU